Molecule: non-coding RNA, 80 nt
Filed under: Achromatium sp. WMS3
Lineage: Bacteria; Pseudomonadati; Pseudomonadota; Gammaproteobacteria; Thiotrichales; Thiotrichaceae
Also listed under: 1 other name
Description: SAH (S-adenosyl-L-homocysteine) riboswitch aptamer
Rfam family: SAH (S-adenosyl-L-homocysteine) riboswitch aptamer
Source: Rfam by way of RNAcentral
ACCUUCGAGGAGCGCUGCAACGGUUACAUCCGCCAGGCUCGAAGGCUAUACCAUCUUGCAUUAAACGGCGCUCACUCUCU